GGAUGGGUGGCUGGGUGGAGGAGUGGGUGCGGGUUGUAACGGUCGGGGGUACAGAUUGCUGCAAUUAGCUUAAUGAGUAGACGAACCUCCAGCCAAUCCCCUCCUGGACCAUUUCCACUUAUGGUCUGGUUCUGGUGUGUGCCGGCAGAUGCCAGACCUGAUUACCUUGUUAGUGACUCGGGCUUCGACCUCAAUUCUAGUUUCUUAAUCGUUUUAAUGGACAAAUAGCAACGCAAUGUGAUGUGCUUCUUAUUUUUCAGCAUAUUUGUAGUUGAGGUAUCUGGUCCUUCUUGCGAAUAAUGCUACCUCAAAAAAUUUAAAAGCACUAUUCAGAUUUUUGGUUCUUAUUCAUUUGUGUAAAUGGUAGAAGAUCAUUCAAAUCUUUUUGUGUGCUCUGAACGAAGUAAUUCCUGUCCAAUUUGGUCUGCCAUUUGCCAGAUGGGAGACACAAAUUGAGAUAUUCUGUUAGUCUUCAUCUACUCCAUCACGAAAGCAAAGGAGCAAACACAUCACGCAGAGUUGAGCUCAGAGGUCACGGGGAACCUGGAGCCUAUCCCAGGGAGCAUCGGGCACAAGGCGGGGUACACCCUGGACACGGUGCCAAUCCAACUAUGGUUCUUUUACAGUGGAGAGUUUGAUGGGAACGGAGGUAGCAGUGAUAUCAGGGUUUUUGACGGUUAUAUGCAGGCAGAGGAACAAAACAUAAAUACACAUUCAGCUUUUCCUACAAUUCUGCUCCCAGAUUCGUUUUUGAGCAAAUUCUUUUCAGCAGAAAAUUGCAUCUCGGUGCGUAUCCUGUUCUCUCAGAGAGAUCUGCCCGCUCAGAUGACGCGGUUGCGGUGCUGUUGACGAAGACAGCUUGCGAAACAGAAGGCGUUUUAGGAAAAUGUGUCCAGGUUCAAUGGCUUAUGAAAUUUGUUGAUGCUCCAGCAAGUAAAUAAAUAAAUUAAUAAAC
Long non-coding RNA from Ictalurus punctatus (channel catfish), 955 nucleotides. The record is from Ensembl. NCBI's taxonomy places the organism in Eukaryota, Metazoa, Chordata, Actinopteri, Siluriformes, Ictaluridae.